RNAcentral lists this ribosomal RNA (496 nucleotides) under uncultured bacterium. RNAcentral's name for it is "partial 16S ribosomal RNA". It matches the Rfam family "Bacterial small subunit ribosomal RNA", at positions 899 to 1397 of the family's 1533-position model. The record is from RNAcentral.
ACUCAAAGGAAUAGACGGGGGCCCGCACAAGCAGCGGAGCGUGUUGCUUAAUUCGAUGCUACGCGAAGAACCUUACCUGGGCUUGACAUGCAGGGAAAAGCCGUGGAGACACGGUGUCCGCAAGGGCCUUGCACAGGUGGUGCAUGGCUGUCGUCAGCUCGUGUCGUGAGAUGUUGGGUUAAGUCCCGCAACGAGCGCAACCCUUGUCCUAUGUUGCCAGCGGGUAAUGCCGGGGACUCGUAGGAGACUGCCGGGGUCAACUCGGAGGAAGGUGGGGACGAAGUCAAGUCAUCAUGCCCCUUAUGUCCAGGGCUGCAAACACGCUACAAUGGCCAGUACAAUGGGCUGCUAUCCCGUGAGGGUGAGCGAAUCCCACAAAGCUGGUCUCAGUUCGAAUUGGAGUCUGCAACUCGACUCCAUGAAGCUGGAGUUGCUAGUAAUCCCGGAUCAGCACGCCGGGGUGAAUACGUUCCCGGGCCUUGCACACACCGCCCGU